Molecule: unclassified non-coding RNA, 338 nt
Filed under: soil metagenome
Description: partial contains 5.8S ribosomal RNA, internal transcribed spacer 2, and large subunit ribosomal RNA
Rfam family: 5.8S ribosomal RNA (bases 1-120)
Source: RNAcentral
GAUGAAGAACGUAGCGAAAUGCGAUAAGUAAUGUGAAUUGCAGAAUUCAGUGAAUCAUCGAAUCUUUGAACGCACAUUGCGCCCGGUAGUAUUCUGCCGGGCAUGCCUGUUCGAGCGUCAUUUCAACCGUCAAGCCCCAGCGCUUGUGUUGGGGGCCUGCGGCUGCCGCAGCCCCCCAAAAGCAGUGGCGGGCUCGCUAUCACACCGAGUGCAGUAGUUCAUCUUCUCUCCGGUCUUGUGAGGCGGGUUCCGGCCGUGAAACACCCCACUACAUUCAAGGUUGACCUCGGAUCAGGUAGGAAUACCCGCUGAACUUAAGCAUAUCAAUAAGCGGAGGA